This 345-nucleotide ribosomal RNA is filed under the name Rhipicephalus annulatus. Its description in RNAcentral is "partial 12S ribosomal RNA". Lineage: Eukaryota; Metazoa; Arthropoda; Arachnida; Ixodida; Ixodidae. The record is from RNAcentral.
CUUAUUUUAGAGCUUUACCUUGUAAGUAAAUAAUAAUUACGAAAGCAAAAAAUUAUGGCGGUAUUUUAAGCUUUUCAGAGGAAUUUGCUCUUUAAUGGAUAAAACACCUAAAUCUUACUUAAAUUUGUUAGGUCAAUUUGUAUACCACUAUUAAAUUAAUUAAUAAUUUUAAUUUAUAAAAUUUAUAUAAAUUUAAAAAAAAUUAAGUCAAGGUGCAGUAAAAAUUUAAGAAUGAAGUGAAUUACAAUUCUCUUAAGAGAUUAUUUAAAUUAAAAUUUUAAUUUAGGAUUUGAAAGUAAAAUUAAAAUAGAAUGUUAAUUUGAAUAAAGCUCUAAAAUAUGUACA